This 327-nucleotide ribosomal RNA is filed under the name uncultured Omnitrophica bacterium. RNAcentral describes it as "bacterial SSU rRNA". It matches the Rfam family "Bacterial small subunit ribosomal RNA", at positions 29 to 351 of the family's 1533-position model. Lineage: Bacteria; Pseudomonadati; Candidatus Omnitrophota. The record is from RNAcentral.
AGUGAACGCUGGCGGCGUGGAUUAGGCAUGCAAGUCGAACGAUACCGCAAGGUAUAGUGGCAAAAGGGUGAGUAACACGUGAGAAAUUUACCUUUGAGUGGGGAACAACCUUGGGAAACCGAGGCUAAAACCGCAUAAGACCACGACAGGGCAUCCUGUUGUGAUCAAAAGGAGGGACCGCAAGGCCUCUUGCUCGAAGAUGAUCUCGCGACCUAUCAGCUUGUUGGCGGGGUAAUGGCCCACCAAGGCUUUUGACGGGUAGCUGGUCUGAGAGGAUGGUCAGCCACAUUGGGACUGAGACACUGCCCAGACUCCUACGGGUGGCUG